UACGGAAGGUCCAGGCGUUAUCCGGAUUUAUUGGGUUUAAAGGGAGCGUAGGCCGCCUGGUAAGCGUGUUGUGAAAUUUGCCGGCUCAACCGGUAACUUGCAGCGCGAACUGCAGAGCUUGAGUGUGCGCAACGUUGGCGGAAUUCGUCGUGUAGCGGUGAAAUGCUUAGAUAUGACGAAGAACUCCGAUUGCGAAGGCAGCUGACGGGAGCACUACUGACGCUGAAGCUCGAAAGUGCGGGUAUCGAACAGGAUUAGAUACCCUGGUAGUCCGCACGGUAAACGAUGGAUGCCCGCUGUUUGUCCUGAUGGACAAGCGGCCAAGCGAAAGCGUUAAGCAUCCCACCUGGGGGGUACGCCGGCAACGGUGAA
RNAcentral lists this ribosomal RNA (372 nucleotides) under uncultured bacterium. Its description in RNAcentral is "bacterial SSU rRNA". It matches the Rfam family "Bacterial small subunit ribosomal RNA", at positions 524 to 898 of the family's 1533-position model. The record is from RNAcentral.